AUACGUAGGGGACGAGCGUUAUCCGGAUUUACUGGGUGUAAAGGGAGCGUAGGCGGCCAGCCAAGUCAGAAGUGAAAUCCCACGGCUCAACUGUGGGCGUGCUUUUGAAACUGGAGGGCUUGAGUACUGGAGGGGCAAGCGGAAUUCCUGGUGUAGCGGUGAAAUGCAUAGAUAUCAGGAAGAACACAGGAGGCGAAGGCGGCGUGCUGGACAGAGACUGCCGCUGAGGCUCGAAGGCGUGGGGAGCAAACAGGAUUAGAUACCCUGGUAGUCCACGCGGUAAACGAUGAAUGCUAGGUAUGGGGCUCCAUAGGGGUUCGGUGCCGCAGUUAACGCAAUAAGCAUUCCACCUGGGGAGUACGUUCGCAAGGUUGAAACUCAAAGGAAUUGACGGGG
RNAcentral lists this ribosomal RNA (396 nucleotides) under uncultured bacterium. RNAcentral's name for it is "partial 16S ribosomal RNA". It matches the Rfam family "Bacterial small subunit ribosomal RNA", at positions 523 to 918 of the family's 1533-position model. The record is from RNAcentral.